Stylophora pistillata is the source of this 568-nucleotide long non-coding RNA. The record is from RefSeq and is a predicted model, not a curated record. NCBI's taxonomy places the organism in Eukaryota, Metazoa, Cnidaria, Anthozoa, Scleractinia, Pocilloporidae.
AAAGCGUUUGACAAUCGGGAAGCAAAUAUGAUAUGAUAAAAAGUAAUUACACAUCUUUCCCUCCGUAUCACUUAUCUCUGAUUUUCCUGAAAACAUUGCUUGAUACUCACUGUAAUUACUAUUUUACGACUUUUGAAGCAAACCUCAAUUUAUUGACUGCUGCUCAUAACACUUGGAGCUCAUUAGCGUGGCAAUUAAAAUGCAGCUAUUAGUGUUGUUUUUUGUUUCAGAUAAACGGAACCCACGACGACGAAGACAACCCUCCGGACGUCCCAUUUUUUACUGGGAAGGUGAGAGGUUCGGUCAAACACACCCAACCAUCCAGCAAUGAAGUCACCGGGAAUUCUACGGACAUUGAAAAAAGACACGUAUCCGUAGUGCCAUCCUUCAGCAGUUGAAGACCUCAAGAGUUUGAAAGACGAUGGUGUUCUUGACGAAAAUGAGUUUGCCUCACAGAAGGACAAGCUGUUGACAGAACUAAGCUCUUUGUAAUUGAAGACAAAUUCAUAAUUUACGUGAAUAGUAACUGUUGUAAAAAAAGUCAUCAAAAAUACUCUGCAUGUCGAAU